RNAcentral lists this unclassified non-coding RNA (337 nucleotides) under soil metagenome. Its description in RNAcentral is "partial contains 5.8S ribosomal RNA, internal transcribed spacer 2, and large subunit ribosomal RNA". The stretch from base 1 to 120 matches the Rfam family "5.8S ribosomal RNA", at positions 35 to 154 of the family's 154-position model. The record is from RNAcentral.
GAUGAAGAACGUAGCGAAAUGCGAUAAGUAAUGUGAAUUGCAGAAUUCAGUGAAUCAUCGAAUCUUUGAACGCACCUUGCGCCCCUUGGUAUUCCGAGGGGCAUGCCUGUUCGAGCGUCAUUACACCACUCAAGCUAUGCUUGGUAUUGGGCGUCGUCCUUAGUUGGGCGCGCCUUAAAGACCUCGGCGAGGCCACUCCGGCUUUAGGCGUAGUAGAAUUUAUUCGAACGUCUGUCAAAGGAGAGGAACUCUGCCGACUGAAACCUUUAUUUUUCUAGGUUGACCUCGGAUCAGGUAGGGAUACCCGCUGAACUUAAGCAUAUCAAUAAGCGGAGGA